UUCAUCGGAGCAUUCAAGUGUUACCUAUUAUAAGCUGCCAAAAGUGCGAAGCUCUUGGCUGACAGUGGUGCCUGCUAAUUUCCACUGCAAGGAUUUCGUCCACGAACGUUAUCAUAGGUUACGCGCGUCUCCAGAGGCACUUUGGAAUCUCGGCACGAAAUCGUCUGAUGAAAAUCUCAGGUGCCCGACGCACAACGUUUUGAACGUGUCACGGAGGAUCAAGGCAAAAAACUAGAGCAAAAAAGGUGCACGCUGAAGGCGGAAAUGAAGCAUGAUCUGGCUUGUAUCUGGUGCAUGAAGAAAUGGCUGACACGUUAGUUGCAGUCUACCUCCACCAAUAGACAUCUUGACACCACUUUUAAAUCUGCCCUCAAAGUUACAACCUGUGCUUUCAGGGUGGAAAACAA
Ornithodoros turicata is the source of this 407-nucleotide long non-coding RNA. RefSeq lists it as uncharacterized. The record is from RefSeq and is a predicted model, not a curated record. The transcript has 3 exons. NCBI's taxonomy places the organism in Eukaryota, Metazoa, Arthropoda, Arachnida, Ixodida, Argasidae.